This 91-nucleotide ribosomal RNA is filed under the name Fluviicoccus sp. Lineage: Bacteria; Pseudomonadati; Pseudomonadota; Gammaproteobacteria; Moraxellales; Moraxellaceae. The record is from RNAcentral.
CCACCUGAUCCCUUCCCGAACUCAGAAGUGAAACCACUCCGCGCCAAUGGUAGUGUGGCAUUCGCCAUGUGAGAGUAGGUCAUCGCCAGAC